GCACUGCUGAGGAGUCCCAUAACAGGUCUAAACGGUCGUCCAGUGC
RNAcentral lists this non-coding RNA (46 nucleotides) under Schistosoma mansoni. The record is from RNAcentral. Lineage: Eukaryota; Metazoa; Platyhelminthes; Trematoda; Strigeidida; Schistosomatidae.